This 781-nucleotide ribosomal RNA is filed under the name uncultured marine bacterium. RNAcentral's name for it is "bacterial SSU rRNA". It matches the Rfam family "Bacterial small subunit ribosomal RNA", at positions 57 to 870 of the family's 1533-position model. The record is from RNAcentral.
GCAAGUCGAACGGAGGCCCGAAGCUUGCUUCGGAUACCUUAGUGGCGAACGGGUGAGUAACACGUGGGAAUCUACCUAAAAAUGGGGAAUAACUAUUGGAAACGAUAGCUAAUACCGCAUAAUCCCUGAGGGGUAAAGGCUUCGGCCGUUUUUAGAUGAGCCCGCGCUAGGUUAGGUUGUUGGUAGGGUAAAAGCCUACCAAGCCUGCUAUCUAUAGCUGGUCUGAGAGGAUGAUCAGCCACACUGGGACUGAGACACGGCCCAGACUCCUACGGGAGGCAGCAGUGGGGAAUAUUGGACAAUGGGGGAAACCCUGAUCCAGCAAUGCCGCGUGAGUGAAGAAGGCCCUAGGGUUGUAAAGCUCUUUCAGAAGUGAAGAUGAUGACUGUAACUUCAGAAGAAGAUCCGGCUAACUCCGUGCCAGCAGCCGCGGUAAUACGGAGGGAUCUAGCGUUGUUCGGAAUUACUGGGCGUAAAGGGCGCGUAGGCGGUAUAAUUAGUCAGAGGUGAAAUCCCUAAGCUUAACUUAGGAACUGCCUUUGAUACUGUUAUACUAGAGAACGAGAGAGGUGAGUGGAAUUCCAAGUGUGGAGGUGAAAUUCGUAGAUAUUUGGAAGAACACCAGUGGCGAAAGCGGCUCACUGGCUCGUUUCUGACGCUGAGGCGCGAAAGCGUGGGUAGCAAACAGGAUUAGAUACCCUGGUAGUCCACGCUGUAAACGGUGAAUGCUAGCCGUUUGAGGUUUUACUUCAAGUGGUGCAGUUAACGCGUUAGGCAUUCC